GAUGAACGCUAGCGGCAGGCCUAACACAUGCAAGUCGAGGGAGAAGCCUUUCGGGGCAGAAACCGGCGCACGGGUGCGUAACGCGUAUGCAACCUACCUUUCACAGGGGGAUAGCCCGAAGAAAUUUGGAUUAAUGCCCCAUAAUAUUGUUUGAUGGCAUCAUUGGACAAUUAAAACUGCGGUGGUGAAAGAUGGGCAUGCGUCCUAUUAGCUAGUUGGAGUGGUAGCGGCACCCCAAGGCUACGAUAGGUAGGGGUCCUGAGAGGGAGAUCCCCCACACUGGUACUGAGACAGGGACCAGACUCCUACGGGAGGCAGCAGUGAGGAAUAUUGGUCAAUGGUCGGAAGACUGAACCAGCCAUGCCGCGUGCAGGAAGAAUGCCUUAUGGGUUGUAAACUGCUUUUAUAUGGGAAGAAUAAGGUGUACGUGUACA
Molecule: ribosomal RNA, 434 nt
Filed under: Capnocytophaga gingivalis
Lineage: Bacteria; Pseudomonadati; Bacteroidota; Flavobacteriia; Flavobacteriales; Flavobacteriaceae
Description: bacterial SSU rRNA
Rfam family: Bacterial small subunit ribosomal RNA
Source: RNAcentral